UAUGUGUGUUCUGAAUGUGGACACGAGUUAUUUUCUAGCAAAUCGAAGUUUGAGCACUCUUCUCCUUGGCCGGCCUUCUCAGAGACGAUCCACGAGGACAGCGUGUCCAAACAGCCUGAAGCAUGGGGACCCCUAAAGGUUUGUUGUGGGAAGUGUGGCAACGGAUUGGGCCACGAGUUCUUGUACGACGGGCCGAGAGAGGGGCUGUCACGCUUCUGAAUCUUCAGCAGCUCACUGAAGUUCAUCCCUAAAGAAGAGGCUGGUGGACAGAAAGGUGAGCAGUAAAAGAGGAACAUGUUUGCUGAAGGUGCACACAGUGAAUGAAGUGUUCGAGGACAAAGCCUGAUGGAUCUCCUGGACGCUGAUGGACGGUGGGCGCAUUAAACAGCAAGGAAAGAAAGAGGGUUUUUGGUUUAAAUCGUGAGUCUAAAGACGGAAAUAAAAUCAGCAACUUUGCAGGUUUAGUUUAAUAAGUUAAUGUGUCAGUAGAAUUAGAUUUUCUUAGUUGUACACACUUUCUGAGCUGCAGUGCAAAUUAGAUGCACCUAAGACAGUAGAGUACUAAGACAAGAAAUGCAGUUUAGCAUCUAACUAGAGGGGUAAAAGCAGCAGUAUUUACCUUUUGUAAUGUAUAGUAUAAACAACAGUUUACAGUGCAGACAGAGAUCUAUGAAUAUGACAUGAAUAUACAGAUAUAUAGAUUCAACAUAAAAUAGAUCAUUUUAAUCUACAGGUGGAGAUAAGUAGCAGUAUGUGGAGUAUAAACAGUACAGAUGAUAUAAACCAGGGGUGUCAAACUCAUUUUAGUUCAGGGGCAACAUUCACGCCAAUUUGAUCUGAAGUGACCAGUACAAUCAUAGCAUAAUAACCUAUAAAUAACCACAACUCCACAUUUUUCUUUUGUUUUAGUCCAAAAAUAUUCACGUUCAAGGAAUUAUCUUUUUUGCAAAACAUUAUGAACAACCUGAAAUUUCUUAAGAGAAAUAAGUUUAAUUUCAACAAUAUUAUGCCUCAGUUUAUCAUUUACACAUUACAACUUCCAGAGCAGAGUGUCUACAAAGGAACACAACAUUUAGUCUCAGGUAUCUGGAACUGAAUGAUAUAGUGUUUUACUUUAUGAUCAAAAUGACAAAAGUCAGACAAAAAAGACCAAAAACAACAAAAACAAGACACAAUAUUGCAAAAAUGAGAACAACAAAAAGAACAAAUGACACAAGCGAGACAAAAAACAACGAAUAAAGCAAAACACAGAAUGACACAAGACAAAAAACACAAGCGAGACAUAGAGGAAACACAAAACAACAAAAACAAGAAACAAAAUGACAAAAACAUGAGACAAACGACAAAAGUCUGUCAAAAAACAAGACAAAAAAAGACAAAAUAUUACAAAAAUGAGACACAAAAUGACAAAAGAACAAUGAACAAUCUAGUAUUUUACUUUGUGAUCAAAACAACUUGUCAUGGUCUAGAAAUUAUUUUAAAAUUAUAGUUUUACAAAUGCAAAAUCUGCAAUUAAUGUCUUCUCUGUAAUUUUUACACUUUACAAAGUCGUCCUGCGAUUGGACCCUCUGGCGGGCUGCUUUUGGCCCGCAGGCCGCAUGUUUGACACCCCUGAUAUAAACUGUAUAAACAUUUUAAUGCUACGAGAUAUAUGCAGUAUUUAUACAAUAUAAACUGUAUAAACAAUCUUGGGAUACGAGAUGUAGCAUGUAUGCAGUAUGUGUAAAUAUAUAUUUAAAUUCACCUAUGAAAUGUAAACAUAGUGGAGAGCAGACUUUGUCCUUCUUCAAAUGUGUAAUUACACAAUUCCAUCAGUGGAUGGGGCUAUAGACUCUGAAAAUAUCCCACAAAAAACUGCUUUAUAACUCACCAGACUGUAUGUGGACAUAAAGUAUUUUUUUUUCUCGGUGCAGAAAGCGAAGAUCUACAGACAGUUUUUAAGGUUAGAAUUUUGGAAUCCAACCAAUCACAAAACACCAUCAGGAGGCUUCUGAUCAGCCCAAAAUUCAUUCUGCGGCACAAAAACGACCCCAAAACCACAGAAUGAUCUUCAGUUACAGGCAGAACAAGGAGUCCUGCAGCAGAUUUGGUAUUACAUAAGGAGACAGAAGCAAGAAAGACAACACAAAACCCACAAAAGGUCUUCCAGAGUACCUCAAAAAAUGUGUGCAAUCGAUGCUACAGUUUGUGUGAAGUUAACUAAGAAUCCUUUCUUUACUUUUACUGCCUGAAUUUAUUGCACAGUGUUAUAUAUUGUCUAUAACAAUCUAUAACAGAUUAAUCUCAUUUCUAUGCUGUAGAACAACACGCAACAUGCAUUUUUAGUGGCUUUUUGCUGCCGCUGUACAUUCAUUUCUUCCUUUUUAGGAAAAUUUCCUUUCGUAAAUGUGGGAAGUUUCUGAAUUCUGUCUAUAAAAUAAACUCUGCUCCAUAAGAAAGAUGUUUUCAUCACAAUAAAUAGCUGUUUUAAUGGGAUUUGGUUGAAAUUGUAGCUAAAAUCCACCUAUUGAGAGUGAAACCAGCGAUCUUUUUUAGUAUUGUUGGUAAAAUGUUGGUUCUCAGCUCCUUGUUUUUCUACUCAGCACAGUUUUCCAUUUAUCUCUUCACGCGCUUCUUGGCUGGUGGUGUGGUGGAAUUUCAAACAAAGCGAGGACGUGGGGGUGCGUUGGACGUCUCAUGCUGUUUAAGUGUCUGGGAUGAGCAGGUGUGGUGCUGCUGAUUUCAAAGACUAUGAGAUCAGAGGGGGAGAUGAAAGCUUUCGGUGUCAGUCACAGGAUUAAGAAAAGGAAGUGCAAACAUUCAGAGAUGGUUACGCUGAAGCAUUUACAGCAAAAACUAUUUGAUGUGAUGAUGAUUUUGUCUGUAAGGUGUGAUCAAAACUUUUCAGUUCACUGUGGAGAAAGUGGCAGUUAGAAAUGUGCAGGUCUAGCGUGCUGGAGUCCCCUUGUAACUGAAGAAUAGUAUCGUUGAUUGAGUUUAAAGGUUUUUGUCUAAAGUGAUGCUCAGGUCACUGUUAUUUCCAAUGUUUAGCCAAGAGCGAAAUAAGAUGAUUGUUGGGAUAGCAAGUCUAAUAUUAAGGCAAACAUUGUAAAGUACCUGAGCAAUUUAAAUAUUACUGUUAAAACCAUACAAAAUGAUGUAAAUUACAAAUCUACCUGACUAAAAUAAACUGAAAGAUAGACAGAGACCCUGCAAGAUUACACAUGGUAAACCCAACAAAUCUAAGAAUUUCCUAAGUUUAUUUGCAACAAUGGAGAGGAAAAACUCAUUUUAACAGAGAUCCUCCAGCAGAAGCAGGCUCAGAGAGAACUGACGUCUGCCUCGACCGGUCGGGGUGACGGUAAAUGGGAAAGUAAAGAUAGCAGAAAGAAACAAACAAAAGAACUUGAACACUGGACAGAUUGGCAAGUACAGAUGCUGCAGAUUAGACCAGUGCAGCUCCACAACCAGAAAUAGCUGCAGAAAGGUACAAGAAGAGAGAACAGAGAGGAUAAAGUUAAUAAAAUGAAAUAAAUGCAUGGAGCAAAUGGGCGAAAAAGGAUGAACACAUGAAGACGGCCAUGUGAACACGAUAGCUAAGGAAAAAUUCAUUGGUUAGUUUUUUUAAAAAGCGCCAAAUCCCAUGAAAUGCCACUAAUUCAAACUGAUAGCUGUAGCGCUAAUGUUGCCUCAUCUCCAUGUCUCCAUUAAGCAACUCAUGCCUUCACUGUCACUGGUUAUACACCACCAUUCAAAAGAUUAGGCUCACCCAGACAGUUUAAUGUUUUCCAUGAAAACUCCCACUUUUAUCCAUGUGCUAACAGAACUGCACAAGGGUUUUCUAAUCAUCAAUGAGCCUUUCAACACCAUUAGCUAACACAAUGUAGCAUUAGAACACAGGAGUGAUGGUUGCUGGAAAUGUUCCUCUGUACCCCUAUGGAGAUAUUCCAUUAAAAAUCAGCUGUUUCCAGCUACAAUAGUCAUUUACCACAUUAACAAUGUCUACACUGUAUUUGUGAUUGAUUCAUUUAAUGUUAUCUUCAUUGGAAACAAAAAACUGCUUUUCUUUAAAGAUUAAGGACAUUUCUAAGUGAGCUUAAACUUUUGAACAGCAGUGUAAGUGCCUCUUCUGUAUUGCCACCAUGCACAGCUGCUAAACAGAUCAAACUGUGAACUUGCGAGUGGGAAAAGGAAAGUCUGAAAGUGGAAGAGUGACAUCCUCAACCAAAAUCCAAAAGAUAAACCAGAUGCGAGAGGGAAAAAUAAAGGGGGAAACUGCUCCGAACGCAGGACUGUAAUUAGCAUCUACUAUCUGGGAGAACAGUCUCUGUGGCUGGCAUCUGAGCACAGCUGUAUGGCCGAGAGGAAGCAAACAGGAAGACGUGGUAAUCCUCUGAUAGAAUCAUGAGGCAGAUUUUUCUCCCGCUGACCUCUGGGGCUCAUCCUGCUCCUGAGCAAACGGGAUCCUUAAUUACAUUAAACCACUGCCACUGCAACAGUCCCCAAGGCCGAGCCCGGAGCUGGAGCUGAACACGUGUGCACCGCUGCCAUGUUGCUUUGAUUGUAACGUGUACACGCCUGUUGCUUAGAUGUGGAUGUUUAUGGGGCGCUGCACCUGCUUCUGUUAACUCAUUCUGACUUUAUACAUCAUCAGGGUAGCGUUUGCUGCAACAUCUGCCCUCCAGCGCUUCACAACGGGAGCUGGGAUCACUUAGUUGCAGGAAUAAGGCUCCUGAAUACAUGGCUGUAAGAAAAAUAAAGACAUUUCCUUUCAUCAGGGAGUAAUAUCUACAGAAUGUGAGCUAAGCAGCUGUACAGGACGUCUCCAUCCAUACGUGGACGGCUGCCCUGCACAUGUUUCAGACGUACACAUGUCGGCCGUCUGCCUCUGAGUAACGAAUGGAAGGAAAAACAGAGCUUUUUUACAUGACACCGGAAUGUGAUUUCCGCUCUGAAGCAAAGGAACGUUGAGGGAACUGGAGGUUCUGCUGGUCGGGUAUUGUUGCAACUCUGGCAGGAUCACAUGGGUCAUUCCAGAACUGGAGGACAUUUACAUCAAAUUUCAAAUAAUCCACGUACAAAAUACUAAAACAUGCGGUUGUUGUGUAAAUGUUCUUGUCCUCAGACCAAAUCUAAAAAAACUAGGAGAAAAGAAUGUUAAAAAUAUCUUUAAAUUCCAAAUCAGUCUGAACUUUCCCCUAAAAUGUCAUUUUUCUCUUGUUCCACCCCCCUGAUGACCAAAUUCAAUCUCACAUAAAACAGUUAAAAUGAAAUUUAAAUUUCUUUUUUUGUUUUCUUUUUUCAUUGAUGUCUCUUGUAAUUGAAGAAGCAUUUUUUUGAUCAACACAAUAUUUUAAAUAAUAAUUGUUUUACAUGGAACGUGUGUCCCACAACAACUCUGUUAGCAGAACCUUUUUAGCUGGUAGAAGAAGAAGAAAACAGUGAAUCACAUGAGAUGCUGGAAUUAACAUCAGCAAGUUUUCCUAAAGAACGAGUAGAGCAAAACUAUGUCCUCUCUUCUAUUUUUCAUGUUUCAAUAACAUUGUCUUGAUUGAAUGUCUUGUUUUGGUCUUGUUUAUGUCAUUUUGUUUUGUUUCUGACAUUUUCUGUUUCAUUUUUGUCAUUUUGUAUCUUGUUUUUGUCAUUUUGUGUUGUUUUUGUCAUUUUGUGUCUUGUUUUUGUUAUUGUGUCUUAUUUUUGUCAUUUUGUGUCUUGUUUUUGCCGUUUUGUGUCUUAUGUCGUUUUUAUCUCGUUUUUGUCAU
Amphiprion ocellaris (clown anemonefish) is the source of this 5741-nucleotide long non-coding RNA. RefSeq lists it as uncharacterized. Lineage: Eukaryota; Metazoa; Chordata; Actinopteri; Pomacentridae. The transcript is spliced from 3 exons. The record is from RefSeq and is a predicted model, not a curated record.